Molecule: ribosomal RNA, 847 nt
Filed under: Fuegophoxus abjectus
Lineage: Eukaryota; Metazoa; Arthropoda; Malacostraca; Amphipoda; Phoxocephalidae
Description: partial 28S ribosomal RNA
Source: RNAcentral
UCUGCAGAGAGAGUCAAAGACCGUGAAACCGUUCAGAGUAUAAGCCUAUGGUGCAUGGAAGGCUUCCACUGGGGCGUUCACCCAUCGUGGAGUUCGCGGGGGCCAAGGACGGUGUUCAUGAGGCAGUGGCAUUGAGUUGAGUACACCGGCGUGUGGGGGAUUUGGUGGGAGCGCUCGAAUGGUUUCGGCCCUUGAGUAGUUCUUGCCUUUUUCCUUAAACUAUGAAUGUUCAAAGUCCAUUGGCCUUAAGUGGUUAUGCCCACCACAGCCCGUUAGAAGGUCACCCACAGGCUCGAGCAGUCGAUCGCGUGUUUCAGCGCCGGGAUGUAGUAUCUGUAGUCCAAUAACGUAUGGUGUGUUGGCCGGAUGCGUGCCCGGGUCUAGCUGGCCGGGCGAUGCACAGAGUUAAACCUGGUAUGAUCCUUUUGACGAGCUGCUUCUGACCAGGAGUGACACUCCAGGACCCAGCCAUACUCGGUUGGGGCCGAUUCGGCAGUUUGGUCGCAUACGUUGGGGCCUCUGCCGGGUGUCAACCUGCGUGGUGUAAUGUCCAGCACCAUCGGUCACGUCUCGAAACACGGGCCAAGGAGUAUAGCAUGUGUGCAAGUCUAAGGGUUUCACAAAACCCGCAGGCGCAGUGAAAGCAAGACUGUGUCGUGAGAGUUACUUCGGUAGCGAUCUCGGCAGCCUCUCGUGUUGGUGCGCCCGGUCUCGUACUGUGUGCGCGCCACACGUCUGGCAUUUGGCAGAGCUGAUGCUGCUAUUGGAUAAUUCCCUUUAUGCAGUUGCAAGCUCCGGGCUCCCGCAACACGCUUUGGUCAUCCUCGUGGUGGCUGUGUUGGGAGCA